This is a long non-coding RNA of Cyprinus carpio (common carp), 1550 nucleotides long. RefSeq lists it as uncharacterized. Lineage: Eukaryota; Metazoa; Chordata; Actinopteri; Cypriniformes; Cyprinidae. The record is from RefSeq and is a predicted model, not a curated record.
UUGUGAAUAGUAGGGAGUGUGUUUGCAGGUUCACUGCUGAUAUUGAUAAGGAAACGGUGGCUCAGCAUGAUAAGACUUAUAUUUGGCAUUUCCAGAAUUUUGCAGGAGUCACAAAUGUCAACUGUUGUAGAGCGAUGGAUUAUUUAUACAACCCUAAACUUUAAUAUUUGAUGUAGAGCACAGAGAUCUUACAACUCAAGUGACUAAAGAGAUCUCAUACAAGAACGCUAGAAAUGUGUUUACUAUACUGUGACAGCACAGAUACUGUGAGUAACUCUUAUUGUUACUAAAUUACUCCUACUGUCAAAGUAACUUCAACUGCUUGAUUGGGUUUCAAUGACAGUUUUUCCUGCUGAACACUAGAGGGAGGCAGUGCACAGCAUACUGAAACCUGCAUACUGAACUUAGUAUUUUCUGGAAACUUCCAUUGGUGUGGCUCAGAGCCUUCUUUUACCUUCUGUUCUUUUUCACUGCUGAAGCAAACAUCAUAACGUACACAGGUCACAUGCUGGUCACUGAGGUUCCUUCAAGGUUCCUUCACAUCCCAUUUAAAUCUGGGGAAAAUCUGAGCAGUUGAUUGCAGUCCAGGCCAGAGAAGAAACGCAUGAGUGGCCUCUCUCUCUCUCUCUCUCUCUCUCUCUCUCUCUCACACACACACACUCACACACACACACUCACUGCAGGUCUCUCUUCCGCUGUGUCCUGUCAUCAUGAGAGUGUCAGCAGAGGCUGCUGUGUCCCGGCUCAUCAUCCAGCAGCACUCCAUCAGAUAACGGGAAACUCGACGCCACAUCGGGAGAUUUUUUCCAUCUCUGAUACCGCCUCGCAGUCUGCAAAGAAUGCUGCAGAUCCCGUGGGGUUCGAGUACAAGCUCUGAACGUCCAUCUCACACACACUGGCCGUGACCCCCGUGGACGGACGUUCCCUGCAUGCGUUGAUGCAGGUUCAUGGCGUCAUGGGCAGGUGUAAGCUCUCAGAGCUCGUCAUGUCAACAAACGUGUGUUCCCUGAGAGACAUGUCACAUUCACAAAGGUCAAACACACUUCAUGCUGCUUUAUUCAUACAUAUUUGAUAGUCUGCCUUAGAAUAUAUUGAUUUAUAUGUUAUUAGGGCUGUAAUAAUAUAUAAUUUUACAAUAUAUAGGGAUACAAGUAGUUAAAAUUUUGCAUCAAGUAUAGUAAGGGCGUAUCAAAUAUGGUAAGGUCACACAUUUGGAAUUGAAACAUAUUAUUAAAAAAUAAUAUAGGCCUAUACAAUAUUUAAAACUUUGUAGAUGAGGCACAUCAGACCACAAGCAUAUAUGUGUCCAAUAUAAUUAUGUAAUGCCAGAUUUAGCAUUUUAAUGAACAGUCCUUUUUAACGGUUUAUUGUGUAUCUUAGAAGUAAUGAUUUGAAAGUGAAUGCAUCGUAACACGAGAUCAGUAUCGAACCAAAUCUGACUUGUAAUUUGCAGUGUUGUUUUAGUAUUGAGAUAUUAUAGUUCUUGUUAAUAUUUUUAAGCCAUUUUUAUUUUUCCAUUUUUAGUUUAAUGCAAUUUUGUCAUUUUAGUU